This is a non-coding RNA of Megalopta genalis, 951 nucleotides long. The record is from RefSeq and is a predicted model, not a curated record. Lineage: Eukaryota; Metazoa; Arthropoda; Insecta; Hymenoptera; Halictidae.
AUUUCUUUCAAACAAAUUAAUACAAAUUAUCACCACAAAAAUGAACAAAGUUAUGUUGCAUUUUUUGUAUUAUUUCAAAAAGAUUGGAUAAAUGGACAAUUCUAUCAUUAGCAACGUUCUUCUAGCACCAGUGUUUUCCAAAAGUUUCAACCAGAAGAAUUCUCCUGACAGUUUAAAACGUGCACUCAACACGUUUAGAACUAUUCUAUCUACUUUAUCCCUUGGAUGGCAGGUCUCGGGUCUAUUUCGACUUUGAGCCACAAGAAUAAGGUUCCGUUAUUUUGCGAUACCUAAAAUGUAUGUAUGUGAUUUUGCAAUAAAAAAUUCUCUUUUAUCUGAUACGUACCAUACAGUCGCUGAAUAUUUCCAAAUAAAUAUGAAGAACACAAUUUUUACGAAAAUAAUUGAAUUAACGAAUUCGUGGUUAAUACACUUAGAAAAAAAUAAUAGCUGUUAUAAAUGUUUGUGACGCGUAUGAGGAUCAUAUUUUAAUUAUAAGAAAAUGUCAGAGUUUCCAUGAUAACAUUUGCUGACAAAAUAUUAACAGAUAAAAAAUUAUCAGCGAUAAUAUAUAUUGACAACAAAUUGGAAAAUUUCGAAAUUUGGGAACGGUAAUAUGUAACAAUUUAUAACUAUCACGUGUUAUCAUUCUAUCCAAAAAGAAUAUUAUACUGCUGAACGGAACUUCAUCUUUGAAAGGUUCUAUUGGCAUAUAGUAAAAUAUUAGAGGGGCAAUUCACUAAAAACUUUUUAAAUGGAGGUCAACUGGCAGCAGCCAUUGUAUUAUAAUCAAUAGCUAUCGAUUAUAUGCAGCCCUACGUGAAAGAAGCCCUUCAUCAGUAAAUGGGAAAGGAAUUCACUCCACCACGUAAAUGCUAGAUUAUACACAACAAAGGCAACUGUAACAAAAAUUUAAAGCUGUAAUUAAAAACAUGUACGUUACCCACCUUA